Molecule: RNA transcript, 2759 nt
Organism: Anastrepha ludens (Mexican fruit fly)
Lineage: Eukaryota; Metazoa; Arthropoda; Insecta; Diptera; Tephritidae
Exons: 6
Source: RefSeq, a predicted model, not a curated record
UGCUGCUAAGUUUGAAACGUCCCUUGGGCGCGCUCUCUCUCAAAAUGAAACAGUUUCGUUUCUUAUUAUCUAUGUAGUGUUUAAUUAAAAUGAUUCUAUAAUUCUGUUACUGUUUUUUAUGAAUAUAGAUCAAAAUAAAGGAAUAGUAACAGUUUAAAAGUAAUAAAGUGUGUAUGAAAGUAAAAUAAUUGAGGUCAAUGCUUGCCUUCACAGGAAAAUGGCGUUGUGUGGUUAACCAAUUUAAAAACAUGUCGUAUCCAGAGGAUAUGCCCCCGAUAGAACUUACAAAAUUACAUUUCUCGGAGAUUAAACAAGACAUAUGUGUGCAAUUCGGCGUAAUAUCCAGCGAAAAUCAUAUAGCCUUACAAUGUUCAAAUAACCAACUCAUUAUAUUGGAUAUUUUGGAUUCAUCUGCAGUGUUAACUGACUUGCCAUACAAUUUGUACUAUGUUGAAAUACCUCAAAACCAUGUCUUUGACUCGUUGAAGAAAGCUGAUUUGAAAAAAUCGUAUAAUAAUUGCAAUUCACUAGAGCAACAACGACUGACCUUGGAUUCGGCAUAUGUAUCUCAUUUUUCUUAUGAAUCUCCAAAAACAAGUGCUUUACAAUUUAAACGGGCUCCAUGCCAUUCACCGAAAGAGCACCCGAUUGCUGUUAUUGUAACUGUAAACGGAUUGUGCCGAAUACUAAGGAAAAUGGCAGCUCCAAGUCGUCAGUGGAGUGAAAUAUGUAAUGUAAAUGAAUACCUCUCAAACGAGACACUGUCAUUGGAAUUCAAAGCUAGUAAAAGUGCAAUCGAAUGCUGUAUCACUGCAGCCGCUUGGCAUAAAACAGAACCAUUGUUGUUUGUGUCCUUCGAUAACGGCUAUGUUGCAAUUAUUAUGUUCCGUAAUGCGUAUAUUGUAAAGUUGGGACAAUUUUUCAUAACCGAAACCAAACUCGAAAAAAUAUGUGAUAUAAUUUCGUUUGAACAUUAUGUGCUAGUUAGUUGUAAAGAUGGCAUUUUGCAACUAUUUUAUUUACACAAAUCUACAAGUAAUUUGCCUUUACUAUCACCGAUGGACGCUCUAUGGAAGAAGAGAGAUAAUAUGGCUUGCAGCAAAGUUCUUGUAAACAAGUUAACCUCCAGUACAUAUCUGGUAGUUUUUAGUAAAGGUUCUCAUAUACUAGUAUACAUGUUGAAUGCAAAAGGCAAAGUUCUUUGCUCUAAAGAAUUGUCCUUCGGGGGAAUAAAAGUUACAGAUGUACAAAAUAUUUCUUCCUCCGAAUUUAUUGUAACUACCAUUACGAGUUCUGUGCAUUAUUUCAAAGUAAAUGUCGUGGAUGACUAUGCGUUAAGAAUAACUAAAAAAAGUAUUGAAGUCGACUUGGACACUUCAAAUCUUGGUAUUCUUGCACUCGUGCCUUCAUCGAAUUGCAGCCUUUUGACAUUUAUUUUAGUACGCAGCAGCGAAUAUUCACAACAAAGCAAGUACAUGCAUAGCAGCGUAUUUGUAAACAUUUCGAAAUUGGAAAGGAUUGACAUCCUAAAGCAACUAACAAAUCCCAAUUUGGGUGCCAUGAAUCCAAGUUAUGACCUUUUAAUUGCUUUGGGAAUGGACACAUUUAGCAAUAUGAACUACGACAAGUAUAGUUCUUUUUUCGAGGUAGUAAACACUAAACUACCUGACCUUUUGGACAAUGGAUUCUUGCUUGAACUCCAGAUAAAAUUUGUAUUUAUCUCAAACUUUUUGAGUUUUCAGAGGGUUAUGCAGAAAAAAAAUAAGGAGGCUACGGUAAUCGCACACGGAUUCCUUUCAAUUGCUAUACAAAUUACGCACAUAAUAUGUCGACUCAAAUACUUAUUUUCAUUGGAACCAGAAAUUCUCAGUUCAUUUCAACAAGAGUCCAUAAAUCUAUUUAUGAAGAAAUAUAUUAUAUUAAUUCGUAAAUUCAAAAGAUUUUUGACUAACAAACAUAUUUUAGAGCGUACAGGAGAAAUGUAUUUAUCUUUUUUUACGAAAUCAUACAAUGCUUUUAAAACUUAUCGGGAAUCGUGUACUCGCUGGAAUGAAAGAUGUCUCUACUGCAAAGAACCCACGAAUGCCGACACCAUGAUGUGUGACAAUAAUCAUAAAGUGAAGCGCUGUUAUGUCUCAUAUACGCAGUUUCUACUGCCAAACUAAAAGGACAGAGAGUUUGCUUUACCACACACUCCUAUCAGAAAAAUUCAUAAAAUCUCAUAUGCGAAAAAAUUAGGAACAUUUUUAAGUAUAAAGUGGUGUCCCAGUUUUGCCCCAGGGGGACCUGGCAGCCCUAAUCACAAUGGAUAAAUUUCUGGUCUAUGUGCGAUCUGGAGGAUCGACCAAGUUAAACUUAACCUUCACCGGCUUUAUAUCUAUAACACACGGUUUAAGAGCACAUGCAAAUACCAGCAAAAACGAAGCAGUUUCGUCCAAUUAAAUCAAAAUAGCAAACCUGACUGAGCACGACGCACGGUGUUAGUGUAUUCCUCUACCCAGCAAGAGCAAUGAUGGUCACUUGCCGGGCCUGUCCCGCAUGUCCACUUAGUUCGGCAGAUUUUGCAGUCACAUUCUUAAUAGUGGAUCAAAAAUACUCACAGAAGUUUAGUGUCCGUAUGAGUUUUCAUCACUUUCUAGCAUCCACUAUUUCUGGUACUAUAUUUCUUUAUCACACACCCAUUUUGGGUGUUCGGCCGAGCUCCUCCUCCUAUUUGUGGUGUGCGUCUUGAUGUUGUUGCACAAAUGGAGGGACCUACA